Molecule: non-coding RNA, 26 nt
Filed under: Bombyx mori (domestic silkworm)
Lineage: Eukaryota; Metazoa; Arthropoda; Insecta; Lepidoptera; Bombycidae
Source: RNAcentral
UCCAGGAGAGUUACAGUGGAGCCUUC